UACGGAGGAUCCGAGCGUUAUCCGGAUUUAUUGGGUUUAAAGGGUGCGCAGGUUGUUUGAUAAGUCAGUGGUGAAAGUCUGUCGCUUAACGGUAGGAUUGCCAUUGAUACUGUUAGACUUGAAUAUGGAUGAGGUAGGCGGAAUGUGUAGUGUAGCGGUGAAAUGCUUAGAUAUCACGAGGAACUCCGAUUGCGCAGGCAGCUUACUAAACUACUACUGACGCUCAGGCACGAAGGCGUGGGGAUCAAACAGGAUUAGA
This 259-nucleotide ribosomal RNA is filed under the name uncultured prokaryote. RNAcentral's name for it is "partial 16S ribosomal RNA". It matches the Rfam family "Bacterial small subunit ribosomal RNA", at positions 524 to 782 of the family's 1533-position model. The record is from RNAcentral.